AGCACAAGGGGAGAGAGGGAGAGAAAUCCUGGGUCUAGAAGUUUCGAGCUUCUCUGUCUUCUCCAUCGGUCUUCCUCAUCCUUCCUUCUCUAAUGUUCUCCCCGUGUCACCGGCGAUCGUGGAUGCUCAGCACUGCCUUGCAAAAAUGCCCAGUAUGUCUCUGUAGGUGCUGCCAUUAGCGAGUCCUUCUUCAUGCUCUCUGCCUCUGUUCGUUUUCUUUUUCGUGCUGCUGUUCUAUCUUGCUGUGCACAUCUGGGUCGUUGGCUGAUGGAAAAAAUCAAGUCGCUGGAGUGGGUGUAUUGAUCUCGAAUUUGAAUCAGCGCUGAGUUCGUUUUUCUUCUUUGAAGGAAGAGCUGAUAUGGUGCUGUGGAAGGAUUAAUUCGUGGGUUGAGGCUGAAAUAUUGCUAUAUUCUUCUUCCCCUGUUCAGUUGUAGAUUCAGUUUUCUUCCUCCUCUGUGUGUGUGCACUGUCGGCUAACUAAGGAUGCUAAGAGAAAGGAAGAAUUGAUUGAAGUUCUAAGAAAUGAAUUUUGAUGCUCGAGCAUAUUAUAGAUAGCAUAAUUGACGCUGUACGUCUUGCUUACCAAUGAUGGAUGUUUUCGGAACAGAGUGGAGGCUUGCUCUGUAAAUAUGUCUUAUUGAUGUAAUAUGAAAUUUAUGUAUUAUGUCAUGAGAUAUAUGAUUAGGUGCUCCACAUAACUUAUAAUUAGAAUCCUUAGUUUAUUA
Molecule: long non-coding RNA, 725 nt
Organism: Prosopis cineraria
Lineage: Eukaryota; Viridiplantae; Streptophyta; Magnoliopsida; Fabales; Fabaceae
Exons: 5
Source: RefSeq, a predicted model, not a curated record